AACAAACGCUGGCGGCGUGCCUAACACAUGCAAGUCGAACGGGGAAAGCUUUCGGGUGAGUACUAGUGGCGCACGGGUGAGUAACGCGUGGAUAAUCUGCCUUAGAGUGGGGGAUAACCAGUCGAAAGAUUGGCUAAUACCGCAUAAGACCACAAGAGCUGCGGCUCAAGGGGUCAAAGGUUUUUCGCUCUAAGAUUAGUCCGCGUAAGAUUAGCUAGUUGGUGAGGUAAUGGCUCACCAAGGCGACGAUCUUUAACUGGUCUGAGAGGAUGAUCAGUCAAACUGGAACUGAGACACGGUCCAGACUCCUACGGGAGGCAGCAGUAGGGAAUAUUGCACAAUGGAGGAAACUCUGAUGCAGCGACGCCGCGUGAGUGAUGAAGGCCUUCGGGUCGUAAAGCUCUGUCGCAGGGGAAUAACACAAUGAAUGUACCCUGUAAGAAAGGAUCGGCUAACUUCGUGCCAGCAGCCGCCGUAA
RNAcentral lists this ribosomal RNA (478 nucleotides) under uncultured bacterium. RNAcentral's name for it is "partial 16S ribosomal RNA". It matches the Rfam family "Bacterial small subunit ribosomal RNA", at positions 29 to 523 of the family's 1533-position model. The record is from RNAcentral.